GAUGAAGAACGUAGCGAAAUGCGAUAAGUAAUGUGAAUUGCAGAAUUCAGUGAAUCAUCGAGUCUUUGAACGCACAUUGCGCCCCCUGGUAUUCCGGGGGGCAUGCCUGUCCGAGCGUCAUUGCCGCCCUCAAGCACGGCUUGUGUGUUGGGCCCCCGCCCCCCGGCUUCGGGGGGCGGGCCCGAAAGGCAGCGGCGGCACCGCGUCCGGUCCUCGAGCGUAUGGGGCUUCGUCACCCGCUCUGUAGGCCCGGCCGGCGCCCGCCAGCGACCCCAAUCAAUCUUUCCAGGUUGACCUCGGAUCAGGUAGGGAUACCCGCUGAACUUAAGCAUAUCAAUAAGCGGAGGA
This 348-nucleotide unclassified non-coding RNA is filed under the name soil metagenome. RNAcentral describes it as "partial contains 5.8S ribosomal RNA, internal transcribed spacer 2, and large subunit ribosomal RNA". The stretch from base 1 to 120 matches the Rfam family "5.8S ribosomal RNA", at positions 35 to 154 of the family's 154-position model. The record is from RNAcentral.